UCUGUCUGGUGUUUCUCCUCCACCGCCUGAAGACAUUGUGCCAGGACUUGAUUCACGGCGGACUGCAUCUCCUCCCGCAAUCCGUCUAGGCCCUCUUCGACCCUUUGUUCGACCCCCUCGAACCUUUGGUCGACCUCUAUGAACUUGUCCUGCCCAUCGGCAAUGGCCAACUCCACUUUGGCCAGCCUUGUCUCCAACCCCUCAAUGGCGUCCCUGGAGCGAGACCUUUGGCCCUUAGAUUUGUCCCUUCCGGUUUGGGUGAUUUCACUGCUGCCUUCCAUACUCCCUUAGAUGUUCCAACGAACCUGACGCUCUGAUACCAAUUGUGACGAGACCGUAACUCAAACACGACGAUCUGUCCGGCCUAGCGAACUUUCAAUGCCAAAGNNNN
RNAcentral lists this long non-coding RNA (391 nucleotides) under Nicotiana benthamiana. Its description in RNAcentral is "long non-coding RNA (NBEN_LNC027857)". Lineage: Eukaryota; Viridiplantae; Streptophyta; Magnoliopsida; Solanales; Solanaceae. The record is from RNAcentral.